This 410-nucleotide ribosomal RNA is filed under the name uncultured bacterium. RNAcentral's name for it is "bacterial SSU rRNA". It matches the Rfam family "Bacterial small subunit ribosomal RNA", at positions 612 to 1020 of the family's 1533-position model. The record is from RNAcentral.
ACCGAGGAUCCGCGUCCGAUACUGUCGAACUUGAGUGCGGGAGAGGGUAGUGGAAUUCCCAGUGUAGAGGUGAAAUUCGUAGAUAUUGGGAAGAACACCAGUGGCGAAGGCAGCUACCUGGACCGCAACUGACGCUGUGGCGCGAAAGCGUGGGGAGCAAACAGGAUUAGAUACCCUGGUAGUCCACGCCCUAAACGAUGGGCACUAGGUGUGGGAGGUAUCGACCCCUCCCGUGCCGCAGCUAACGCAUUAAGUGCCCCGCCUGGGGAGUACGGUCGCAAGGUUGAAACUCAAAGGAAUUGACGGGGGCCCGCACAAGCGGUGGAGCAUGUGGUUUAAUUCGACGCAACGCGAAGAACCUUACCUGGGCUUGACAUCCCUGGAACCCCUGUGAAAGCAGGGGGUGCCUA